AGGACGAACGCUGGCGGCGUGCUUAACACAUGCAAGUCGAGCGAGGGGCACCUUCGGGUGUCACCUAGCGGCGAACGGGUGAGUAACACGUGGGCAACCUGCCCUCAGCUCUGGGAUAACCCCCGGAAACGGGAGCUAAUACCGGAUAUGACCUCUUUGGACAUCCUUCGAGGUGGAAAGAUUUCGGCUGAGGAUGGGCCCGCGGCCUAUCAGCUUGUUGGUGGGUAAUGGCCUACCAAGGCGACGACGGGUA
RNAcentral lists this ribosomal RNA (253 nucleotides) under uncultured bacterium. RNAcentral's name for it is "partial small subunit ribosomal RNA". It matches the Rfam family "Bacterial small subunit ribosomal RNA", at positions 26 to 285 of the family's 1533-position model. The record is from RNAcentral.